Molecule: ribosomal RNA, 402 nt
Filed under: uncultured Burkholderia sp.
Lineage: Bacteria; Pseudomonadati; Pseudomonadota; Betaproteobacteria; Burkholderiales; Burkholderiaceae
Description: bacterial SSU rRNA
Rfam family: Bacterial small subunit ribosomal RNA
Source: RNAcentral
GAUUAGCUAGUUGGUGGGGUAAGAGCUUACCAAGGCGACGAUCUGUAGCUGGUCUGAGAGGACGACCAGCCACACUGGGACUGAGACACGGCCCAGACUCCUACGGGAGGCAGCAGUGGGGAAUUUUGGACAAUGGGGGAAACCCUGAUCCAGCAAUGCCGCGUGUGUGAAGAAGGCCUUCGGGUUGUAAAGCACUUUUGUCCGGAAAGAAAACCUUUGGGCUAAUACCCUGAGGGGAUGACGGUACCGGAAGAAUAAGCACCGGCUAACUACGUGCCAGCAGCCGCGGUAAUACGUAGGGUGCGAGCGUUAAUCGGAAUUACUGGGCGUAAAGCGUGCGCAGGCGGUUCGUUAAGACAGAUGUGAAAUCCCCGGGCUUAACCUGGGAACUGCAUUUGUGAC